AACGAACGCUGGCGGCAUGCCUAACACAUGCAAGUCGAACGAGACCUUCGGGUCUAGUGGCGCACGGGUGCGUAACGCGUGGGAACCUGCCCUUAGGUUCGGAAUAACUCCCCGAAAGGGGUGCUAAUACCGGAUAAUGACUUCGGACCAAAGAUUUAUCGCCUUUGGAUGGGCCCGCGUUGGAUUAGCUAGUUGGUAGGGUAAAAGCCUACCAAGGCGACGAUCCAUAGCUGGUCUGAGAGGAUGAUCAGCCACACUGGGACUGAGACACGGCCCAGACUCCUACGGGAGGCAGCAGUGGGGAAUAUUGGACAAUGGGCGAAAGCCUGAUCCAGCAAUGCCGCGUGAGUGAUGAAGGCCUUAGGGUUGUAAAGCUCUUUUACCCGGGAUGAUAAUGACAGUACCGGGAGAAUAAGCGCCGGCUAACUCCGUG
Molecule: ribosomal RNA, 433 nt
Filed under: uncultured bacterium
Lineage: Bacteria
Description: partial 16S ribosomal RNA
Rfam family: Bacterial small subunit ribosomal RNA
Source: RNAcentral